UAUCUCUGUAGAGUCUGCAUAUCAAUAAGCGGAGGAAAAGAAACUAACUAGGAUUCCCCUAGUAACGGCGAGUGAAGCGGGAAGAGCUCAAAUUUGAAAUCUUAAAGGGUUUCCCUUGACGAAUUGUAGUUUAAAGAAGUGUUUUCUGUUGGAGUUUUGGUAAAAGUUCUUUGGAAUAGGACAUCAUAGAGGGUGAGAAUCCCGUAUUUGACCAUUAUUUCCAGCUUUGUGAUACACUUUCAAAGAGUCGGAUUGUUUGGGAAUGCAGUCCAAAAUGGGUGGUAAAUUUCAUCUAAAGCUAAAUACUGGCGAGAGACCGAUAGCGAACAAGUACCGUGAGGGAAAGAUGAAAAGAACUUUGAAAAGAGAGUUAAACAGUACGUGAAAUUGUCCAAAAGGGAAGCGUUUGACACCAGUGUUGUUUUCUCGAAAAUCAAUUAAAAAAGGCAGGAUUUUGUGUUGUAUUGACUUUAUCAGCUUUCUGCACUCUAUUCUUGUCUUUUUUAAUGCACUUUUCGUUUAACAAGUCAACAUCAAUUUCUUUUGUUGUAAAAGGGUCAUUGGAAGGUGGCUUUCCUUUCGGAGAAAGUGUUUAUAGCCUUUGGCCUCUGCAAUCGGAGAGAUUGAGGUCUGCAGCGUAGAUCCUUCGGGGUUAGAUACAGUUAGAUGCUAAGUUAUAGCCUUUUCAUAGACAACUUGUUGACUAUAAUCAGUCAUGUAGCUUACUCGCUUAUGGCUAUUUUACCUACGCUUAGGAUGUUGACGAUCAGCUGAGCGCG
This 779-nucleotide ribosomal RNA is filed under the name uncultured Neocallimastigales. RNAcentral describes it as "partial large subunit ribosomal RNA". It matches the Rfam family "Eukaryotic large subunit ribosomal RNA", at positions 24 to 628 of the family's 3401-position model. Lineage: Eukaryota; Fungi; Neocallimastigomycota; Neocallimastigomycetes; Neocallimastigales. The record is from RNAcentral.